This 497-nucleotide ribosomal RNA is filed under the name uncultured bacterium. RNAcentral describes it as "partial 16S ribosomal RNA". It matches the Rfam family "Bacterial small subunit ribosomal RNA", at positions 28 to 507 of the family's 1533-position model. The record is from RNAcentral.
GAUGAACGCUGGCGGCGUGCCUAAUACAUGCAAGUCGAGCGAACGGACGAGAAGCUUGCUUCUCUGAUGUUAGCGGCGGACGGGUGAGUAACACGUGGAUAACCUACCUAUAAGACUGGGAUAACUUCGGGAAACCGGAGCUAAUACCGGAUAAUAUUUUGAACCGCAUGGAUCAAAAGUGAAAGACGGUCUUCCUGUCACUUUUAGAUGGAUCCGCGCUGCAUUAGCUAGUUGGUAAGGUAACGGCUUACCAAGGCAACGAUGCAUAGCCGACCUGAGAGGGUGAUCGGCCACACUGGAACUGAGACACGGUCCAGACUCCUACGGGAGGCAGCAGUAGGGAAUCUUCCGCAAUGGGCGAAAGCCUGACGGAGCAACGCCGCGUGAGUGAUGAAGGUCUUCGGAUCGUAAAACUCUGUUAUUAGGGAAGAACAUAUGUGUAAGUAACUGUGCACAUCUUGACGGUACCUAAUCAGAAAGCCACGGCUAACUACGUG